This 536-nucleotide ribosomal RNA is filed under the name uncultured bacterium. Its description in RNAcentral is "bacterial SSU rRNA". It matches the Rfam family "Bacterial small subunit ribosomal RNA", at positions 338 to 850 of the family's 1533-position model. The record is from RNAcentral.
CCUACGGGAGGCAGCAGUGGGGAAUUUUGGACAAUGGGCGAAAGCCUGAUCCAGCCAUUCCGCGUGCAGGACGAAGGCCUUCGGGUUGUAAACUGCUUUUGUACGGAACGAAAAAGCCUUGGCCAAUACCCAAGGUCCAUGACGGUACCGUAAGAAUAAGCACCGGCUAACUACGUGCCAGCAGCCGCGGUAAUACGUAGGGUGCGAGCGUUAAUCGGAAUUACUGGGCGUAAAGCGUGCGCAGGCGGUUAUAUAAGACAGAUGUGAAAUCCCCGGGCUCAACCUGGGAACUGCAUUUGUGACUGUAUAGCUGGAGUGCGGCAGAGGGGGAUGGAAUUCCGCGUGUAGCAGUGAAAUGCGUAGAUAUGCGGAGGAACACCGAUGGCGAAGGCAAUCCCCUGGGCCUGCACUGACGCUCAUGCACGAACGACGGUGGGGAGGACGAAACGAAGGAGUUAGUACUACCGUACGGUACGUACCGACCGACCCGUAAACCGUAACGUAGUACUAACUAGGUUGGUUUGGGUUCGUUCUAC